This 642-nucleotide long non-coding RNA is filed under the name Brassica napus (rape). Its description in RNAcentral is "long non-coding RNA (BNAP_LNC027122)". Lineage: Eukaryota; Viridiplantae; Streptophyta; Magnoliopsida; Brassicales; Brassicaceae. The record is from RNAcentral.
UGCUAUCUUACAUGUACAUAUAUAAACUAUGAGUUUUAUUACAAUACUGAUAUUAAAGAGUGGAAAAAGGAUAAAUAAUUUUUUUUAUAGAACUCACAAGUAUAAUAUUAAGUUCCCAUUCGUCUAGCUUUGUUAUUUUUUUUUAUUCCCGGGACAGUUACUUCCUUUUUCUCAUUCUAUCAUCAUAUUAUUCAUUACAUUAGCCAUGCAAAUACAACAAGAAAAUUAUGGCAACAACGCUUUGGUACUCUAUUUAAUUUUAACCAAAUUCUUCAGUGCCAUUACAGCAUGCAUCAACAUCUGCUUAACUUCCAUAAAACAUUACGACCUUGCUUAUAUAGAUUCUCAAUACCUACUUAUUACAACCUACUUGUCCUGAUGUCCCUCAAACAAAAAUUUACUCACCAUAAGAAAAUUAGAAACCAGCUGCUAUUUUACAUGCGGUUUUCCUAAGAAGAAAUAUUUAAGGUUAAUCAUCUUAAGGCUGAGACACAUUUACAAAUGUUAAAACAAAUAUCAAAAACAAUAUAAAAUAGUGGGGGUCAAAAGAAACUUUCAAUAUUCUGUUUGAUAACGUAAAUAUGACCAUAAUAUAGUUAUAUUGGUCAACUCAACUUCAUGAAAGAAAGUGUAACUCAAAAU